AUGGGUUCUCAGGCGGAAGCAGGGGGAUCGAGGCAGUGCUCUGAACCUAUCGAGGAUUUGCUGGGGCGGCUUGAACUCCAGGAGGAUGAGGAGGAUCAGUUUGUUUGGGAAGAAGAAUUCCAGGAAGAACAGGUUGCAGCUAAGGGGUUGGCGAUUCCUAAGGUACAUAUAGCGAAGGGAUUUAGUCCGUUUGCCCUGUAUGCUGACAUGAGAUCGGCAUGGAACCCGACGAAAGAGCCACGGUGGCACAAUAUUGAGGACAACCUGUUCACGGUCCAAUUCGGGUGCUUAGGAGAUUGGAACACUGCUAUGAAUAUGGGUCCUUGGUUAUUUCGAGAUCAAGGCCUACUGAUCGAAGAAUAUGAUGGGUUUCAGAACCUAAGAUAUGUUGUUCUAAAUAAGAUAAUAGUUUGGGCAAGAAUUCUGAAACUACCAGAUAACUAUCUAAUUCCAGCGGUCAUCAAAGGGAUGUGUAGGAAGAUGGGCAAGGUGACUGAGAUACAAACUACACUGUCGGUUGGUUUUGCAAGAGAAUUUGUUAGAGUUAGAGUGGAGUUGAAUGUGAUGAAGAAACUGAUCAGAUUCGUGGGUAUCACGCGGAAUGAGGUCACUGAUUACUAUCAAGUGCAAUAUGAGAAACUCCCUAUUGGACGACCUCUAUUGGUAAAUACUGAAUAUUAUAAUUUUACUGCAGCGCAUCCGAAGAGAUUUGAAGCAAGGUGGUUAAGAGAGGAAAAUUUUAAUAAUAUCGUCAUGGAGGCAUGGAAUGCAGCUGGAGUAGACGGAGGCUUGAACUCCAUAUCAUAG
Molecule: ribosomal RNA, 807 nt
Filed under: Triticum aestivum (bread wheat)
Lineage: Eukaryota; Viridiplantae; Streptophyta; Magnoliopsida; Poales; Poaceae
Description: partial small subunit ribosomal RNA
Source: RNAcentral